CUCAGGACGAACGCUGGCGGCAAGCCUAACACAUGCAAGUCGAACGGACAAUUGCAUAUAGCUUCGGCUAUAAGUAAUUGUUAGUGGCAGACGGGUGAGUAAUGCGUAGGAAUCUACCUAGUAGUAUGGAAUAGCCAUUAGAAAUGAUGGGUAAUACUGUAUAAUCCCUGCGGGGGAAAGAUUUAUCGCUAUUAGAUGAGCCUACGUUAGAUUAGCUAGUUGGUGAGGUAAUGGCUUACCAAGGCUAUGAUCUAUAGCUGGUCUGAGAGGACGAUCAGCCACACUGGAACUGAGAUACGGUCCAGACUCCUACGGGAGGCAGCAGUGGGGAAUAUUGGACAAUGGGCGAAAGCCUGAUCCAGCUAUGCCGCGUGAGUGAAGAAGGCCUUCGGGUUGUAAAGCUCUUUCAAUAGGGAAGAUAAUGACGGUACCUAUAGAAGAAGUCCCGGCAAACUCCGUGCCAGCAGCCGCGGUAAUACGGAGGGGGCAAGCGUUGUUCGGAAUUAUUGGGCGUAAAGGGCACGUAGGUGGACUAGUAAGUUAAAAGUGAAAUACCAAAGCUCAACUUUGGAGCUGCUUUUAAUACUGCUAGACUAGAG
RNAcentral lists this ribosomal RNA (599 nucleotides) under uncultured Ehrlichia sp. Its description in RNAcentral is "bacterial SSU rRNA". It matches the Rfam family "Bacterial small subunit ribosomal RNA", at positions 23 to 646 of the family's 1533-position model. The record is from RNAcentral. Lineage: Bacteria; Pseudomonadati; Pseudomonadota; Alphaproteobacteria; Rickettsiales; Anaplasmataceae.